GCGUCGAUGGCUGAGUGGUCUAAGGCAGCGGAUUGCAAACCCGCUUAUAAUCGUGAGUUCGAAUCUCACUCGGCGCUCCA
RNAcentral lists this transfer RNA (80 nucleotides) under Rickettsiales bacterium. RNAcentral's name for it is "tRNA-Cys". It matches the Rfam family "tRNA". From Rfam's summary of the family: Transfer RNA (tRNA) molecules are approximately 80 nucleotides in length. Lineage: Bacteria; Pseudomonadati; Pseudomonadota; Alphaproteobacteria; Rickettsiales. The record is from RNAcentral.